This 403-nucleotide ribosomal RNA is filed under the name uncultured bacterium. Its description in RNAcentral is "bacterial SSU rRNA". It matches the Rfam family "Bacterial small subunit ribosomal RNA", at positions 29 to 418 of the family's 1533-position model. The record is from RNAcentral.
AACGAACGCUGGCGGCGUGGAUAAGACAUGCAAGUCGAACGGGAUUACUUUUGUAGCAAUACCGAAGUAAUUUAGUGGCGAACGGGUGCGCAACACGUGGGCAAUCUGCCGAAAAGUGGGGGAUAGCUCGCCGAAAGGCGAAUUAAUACCGCAUGUGGUGAGGGAAGACAUCUUCCUGAAUCCAAAGCCGGGGCAACCUGGCGCUUUUUGAGGAGCCCGCGGCCUAUCAGCUAGNGGUGAGGUAACGGCUCACCAAGGCUUUGACGGGUAGCUGGUCUGAGAGGACGACCAGUCACACUGGAACUGAGACACGGUCCAGACACCUACGGGUGGCAGCAGUCGAGAAUUUUUCUCAAUGGGGGCAACCCUGAAGGAGCGACGCCGCGUGGAGGAUGAAGGCUUU